Molecule: long non-coding RNA, 483 nt
Organism: Rhagoletis zephyria (snowberry fruit fly)
Lineage: Eukaryota; Metazoa; Arthropoda; Insecta; Diptera; Tephritidae
Source: RefSeq, a predicted model, not a curated record
UCCACAGUCAACAAAAUAAUUUUGGAAACCUGCGAAGGACUUCAACACUAUUUGGGAUUUCGCGAACUGUGUGGGCGCAAUCGACGGAAAGCACAUCACUUUAAAAUGUCUUUCCAACUCCGGAUCUCUUUUUUACAAUUACAAGGGUACCUACUCCAUCGUAUUAUUAGCAUGUUGCGAUGCGAAUUACACAUUUACUUCUAUCGAUAUUGGUGCGUACGGUUCGCAAAGCGACGGCGGUGUGCUUUGGAAUUCUGGAUUUGGUCAAAGGCUGUUCCAUGAUCAACUAGACCUGCCUGAGGAUGACAUUUUACCAGACAGCAAUAUUAAGUUUCCGCAUUAUUUCGUUGGAGAUGCAGCAUUUCCUUUAAAAAAAAAUUUAAUGCGACCAUAUCCUGGAUUGCAUCUGCCACCCGAUCGUGAAAAUUUUAAUAAGCGCCUUUCAAGAGCUCGGCGUGUUAUUGAAAACGCCUUCGGAAUUAU